RNAcentral lists this ribosomal RNA (406 nucleotides) under uncultured bacterium. RNAcentral's name for it is "partial 16S ribosomal RNA". It matches the Rfam family "Bacterial small subunit ribosomal RNA", at positions 29 to 526 of the family's 1533-position model. The record is from RNAcentral.
AUUGCACGCUGGCGGCAGGCCUAACACAUGCAAGUCGGGCGAGCGGCGGACGGGUUAGUAAUGUCUGGGGAUCUGCCUGCUGGAGGGGUAUAACUACUGGACACGGUAGCUAAUACCUCCUCCCCUCAGAUGCACCCAUAUGGGAUUAGCUUGUAGGUGAGGGAACGGCUCACCUAGGCGACGAUCCCUAGCUGGUAUGAGAGGAUGAUCAGCCACACGGUGACGGAGACAAGGCCCAGAGUGCGACGGGAGGCAGGAGUGGGGAAUAUGGCGCAAGGGGGGCAACCCGGACGCAGACAUGCGGCGGGAAUGAAGAAGGCCUUCGGGUUGUAAAGUUCGUUCGGUAGCGAGGCGUUAACUACAGAAGAAGCACCGGCUAACUCCGUGCCAGCAGCCGCGGUAAUAC